This 1126-nucleotide long non-coding RNA is filed under the name Cricetulus griseus (Chinese hamster). Its description in RNAcentral is "lncRNA (ENSCGRG00015032388.1)". Lineage: Eukaryota; Metazoa; Chordata; Mammalia; Rodentia; Cricetidae. The record is from RNAcentral.
GCAGGUCUCUCCGCGGUGCUGAGGAGCUCGGGCUGGAAUUUCCCCGCAGCGCCGCCCCGCCGGGAGGGACCAGGAGGGAUCUACCCGAGCCCGAUGAGCAGCCCGGGGAGACGCCCGAAACCCAGAACCUGCGCGUUAAAACUGAAAACUUUCCUCCCUUCCACCAUGUCAGUCCCAGGGAUCGAACUUACGCGGUCAGGCACGGUGGUACUCACCAUGGAUGUUUUCCCAGGGGGUAUUCCUGGAAGAGAUUAAGCCUGGGGACUCAUUUCUUCUGGGGACAAUUCAAGGGAAGCAUAGUUAAUCACUCCCCAUCUGUUAGAAACUGGAGGCUGACCCUGGAGAGGAGUGAUGUAUUGGCCCCAUGAGCUGUGUCCUGUGUUGGAGCUAAGGGCCCCCAAGGAAACAGAGAGUGUAACCCGGCAGUCCUUCUAGAAUGUCCUGCCAAGUCUGAGAGGGUGAGAACAGGCCUCAUUGGGCCUGGUAUAACAGGGUUCUAAUCUCAGCUACCUUCAGGCUGACACUGGAAGCUAGAGAAUUCAAGACCUGCCUGGAAUACAGAGACCCUAGCACAAACCCGAAACCAAUAAAUAACAAAAUCUUCGCUUGAGGAGAUAAGAGGUAAAUGACGGGACAGAGCUAAGGACAAAGGACAGCAAACGGGAUGCCAGUGGUACAAGCGCUUCAUCUCACAGACAAACCCACCGGAGAUGUUUGCUUCCUUGUGGGAAUUCGGCCUGUGUCCCUCUCUUCCCACCAAGGCAGUCUCUAGGCAGAACAGAAGAAAUCACUUAAGUGAUUAAGUACUGAAGGAACCAAGGAGCUAGACGCCAUGGUCUAGAGAAAACUGGGUUGAAUCUUGCUUACAGCAGGAGUGUCUAAGAAGGCCUUGCUUGUCCAGUUCCUAUGAGGUGGUGGCACUGAGUGAGGCCAUUGGUGGGGCCUGAUGUAGAGCAGCUCACAUCCCUUUAGGACAAGGGCUGGCCUUAGCCGGGGCCCUCCCUCAGUUCACAAAGGAUGUGGGAGUUAGCCUGUGGGCAGGAGGGAAUCCAGCUGUGUGGGAACAGGAUGGGUGGGUGAGAGUAUUUAGCCUCAGGGAGCAAAUAGAAGAACCCAGAAGGGAGGG